Molecule: ribosomal RNA, 245 nt
Filed under: uncultured Brevundimonas sp.
Lineage: Bacteria; Pseudomonadati; Pseudomonadota; Alphaproteobacteria; Caulobacterales; Caulobacteraceae
Description: partial 16S ribosomal RNA
Rfam family: Bacterial small subunit ribosomal RNA
Source: RNAcentral
UACGAAGGGGGCUAGCGUUGCUCGGAAUUACUGGGCGUAAAGGGAGCGUAGGCGGACAUUUAAGUCAGGGGUGAAAUCCCAGAGCUCAACUCUGGAACUGCCUUUGAUACUGGGUGUCUUGAGUAUGAGAGAGGUAUGUGGAACUCCGAGUGUAGAGGUGAAAUUCGUAGAUAUUCGGAAGAACACCAGUGGCGAAGGCGACAUACUGGCUCAUUACUGACGCUGAGGCUCGAAAGCGUGGGGAG